This 301-nucleotide ribosomal RNA is filed under the name uncultured bacterium. RNAcentral describes it as "partial 16S ribosomal RNA". It matches the Rfam family "Bacterial small subunit ribosomal RNA", at positions 509 to 807 of the family's 1533-position model. The record is from RNAcentral.
CAGUAGCCGCGGGAAAACGUAGGGUGCAAGCGUUAAUCGGAAUUACUGGGCGUAAAGCGUGCGCAGGCGGUGUUGUAAGACUGAUGUGAAAUCCCCGGGCUCAGCCUGGGAACUGCAUUGGUGACUGCAACGCUGGAGUGCGGCAGAGGGGGAUGGAAUUCCGCGUGUAGCAGUGAAAUGCGUAGAUAUGCGGAGGAACACCGAUGGCGAAGGCAAUCCCCUGGGCCUGCACUGACGCUCAUGCACGAAAGCGUGGGGAGCAAACAGGAUUAGAUACCCCCGUAGUCCCUGUCUCUUAUAC